Molecule: non-coding RNA, 23 nt
Filed under: Arabidopsis thaliana (thale cress)
Lineage: Eukaryota; Viridiplantae; Streptophyta; Magnoliopsida; Brassicales; Brassicaceae
Source: RNAcentral
GUAACGUCCUGCCAAACCCGUCC